RNAcentral lists this ribosomal RNA (253 nucleotides) under uncultured bacterium. RNAcentral's name for it is "partial 16S ribosomal RNA". It matches the Rfam family "Bacterial small subunit ribosomal RNA", at positions 524 to 776 of the family's 1533-position model. The record is from RNAcentral.
UACGUAGGGGGCAAGCGUUAUCCGGAUUUACUGGGUGUAAAGGGAGCGUAGACGGUGAUGCAAGUCAGAAGUGGAAGCCCGGGGCUCAACUCCGGGACUGCUUUUGAAACUGUGUAACUGGAGUGCAGGAGAGGUAAGCGGAAUUCCUAGUGUAGCGGUGAAAUGCGUAGAUAUUAGGAGGAACACCAGUGGCGAAGGCGGCUUACUGGACUGUAACUGACGUUGAGACUCGAAAGCGUGGGGAGCAAACAGG